UCGAGUCACCAACACACUCGCAGCGCGCUCCCGUGUGUUGUUCCCCGGCCGCCGAUUUCGGGUGUCGUGUGACCUGUGACGCGAGUCCGAAACCGGUUCUCCCCGAAUCGGAGUUUCCGAGGUCUGGGCACGUGCGAGGCGCCCCCUUGUGCUUUGUGUCGAGCGCCCCCCCGAAAAGGGCCGCGGUUUUCGGAAGGUUUUGUUUCGAACUCGGCGAGGAGGGGAUCCGUCUCCUUCUGGGUGUUUUCGCAGGAAUUUUAUGAGUUUUAAAGCGAACUUGCUUGUGUGACUACUGACAUCAAAACCGUAUUCUACGAAGACAAACACUCGAUUUUUCGCUGCAAUACUUGCAUCAGUUGCCCACAAACAAUUACUAAUGAGCAAUACUCACAAACUGUGAAAAUCGCAAUCCUUAAUUUUACCCGUCACUCGUCAGUCAAAAAUUUCGAGGAUAUCUCUCGUUGAGUUUCAUCAUUGUUUGAAACCAAACCAAAUUGCGAAAUCUAUCUUUAGACAUUGUUAGUAACGAUUACUAAGGACACCGUACUUGAAAUUCGGUGCUUUUAUCCCGCCUGGAGCAAGCUGCCAGUAGGCGACUCAAACGCUCGGUUAGAAAAAAGUAAAAAUCAGCUAUUGUCGCAUUUCGACACUCUCACAACUUGGAACUUUUAAAGUCGUGCACGUUUCAGUUUCAGUGACUUUAAUUCUCGGUAAAACAAAGUGGGUUCGAAACUUCGAACUUUGAUGGAAUGAUAAGUUCGAGAACCGUUCGGAUUGAGUGAUUCCUACCGAUCGCGGCUGGUGUCAAUUUAAAUUGGUGCAUUGCGACUUUCUAUUAUUCCACUUGGAGCAAGCUGCCAGUAGGCGACUCAAACGCUCGGUUAGAAAAAAGUAAAAAUCAGCUAUUGUCGCAUUUCGACACUCUCACAACUUGGAACUUUUAAAGUCGUGCACGAUUCAGUUUCAGUGACUUUAAUCAUCGGUAGAAGAAAAUGGGUCCGAAACUUCGAGCUUUGAUGGAAUGAUAAGUUCGGAUUGAGUAACUCUUAUUGAACUUAAGUCGUGCACGUUUCAGUUUUAGUGACUGUAAUCAUCGGUAGAGUAAAGUGGGUUGGAAACUUCGAACUUUGAUGGAAUGACAAGUUCGGAUUGAGUAGCAUUCAGCGAUCGCAAUUGUAAUUUCGGGAUCUUCGGGAUGGAGCCUGUGGCGGGACCCCGGAAGGCGGUGUAAUCCCGGAGGAUUCGGUCGGUAGGGGUGCGCGAUCUCGGCGGUAGACCUGGAGACAUCCGGCGUGAUAGUUGUGAACCCCAACCCGAAGCUGGCUGAGAGCGAGUCCGCGCCGGCUCCACCCUCCGCACCCUCGCCCGCACCCGCGGCGCCCGCGACGCCCGCCGCGACGCCUCCCGCGAAGGCCGCCAAGGGCCGAGAUGAUCAGUCCACGCCUUCCCCUCCGAUGGGCAUCAUGACAGGUGAGCGAAAUAUACUUAUUUGAGACUGCAUGCGUAACUUAUCUAUGAAGGGAUCCCCUUAACUGUCAAAUCAGGUGGAUGCCCUCUUUCAAUCAAUGAGACCAGGUAAGAAGAUGUAUUGAAAAGACACGAGUAAUGUGCUGGAAGUAUAUUUUCAGGUUUAUUAUUUUUUUUUUUUUUUUUUUUUUUUUUUUUUUUUUUUUUAUUUUUUAUUUUUAUUUAAAUGUAAGUCUCGGAAUCGAGGUUUUUCAAAUUAAUUUUUUGAUUUGAACGCUUUUCGACGUUUUCAUUCUACCCAAAGUUUCCAAAAACUUGCCGUCUUUUAUAGCCUUCAAUACCUACGAUUUAAAGAAUGAAUGCUCCAAUUUUCUCAUAUUUUCAUCAGUCGAGCUUUUCAGCUUCAAAGCUUACUAAUUACCAAAAACUUAAUCAUGUUCACUCUACACUGGAAAAAAGCCUCUCGGGUCUAGUGUCCAGACUCUUAAAAAAAUCGACAAG
Non-coding RNA from Bemisia tabaci, 1968 nucleotides. The record is from RefSeq and is a predicted model, not a curated record. NCBI's taxonomy places the organism in Eukaryota, Metazoa, Arthropoda, Insecta, Hemiptera, Aleyrodidae.